UCAGGAUGAACGCUGGCGGCGUGCCUAAUACAUGCAAGUCGAACGAACUUCCGUUAAUUGAUUAUGACGUACUUGUACUGAUUGAGAUUUUAACACGAAGUGAGUGGCGAACGGGUGAGUAACACGUGGGUAACCUGCCCAGAAGUAGGGGAUAACACCUGGAAACAGAUGCUAAUACCGUAUAACAGAGAAAACCGCAUGGUUUUCUUUUAAAAGAUGGCUCUGCUAUCACUUCUGGAUGGACCCGCGGCGUAUUAGCUAGUUGGUGAGGUAAAGGCUCACCAAGGCAGUGAUACGUAGCCGACCUGAGAGGGUAAUCGGCCACAUUGGGACUGAGACACGGCCCAGACUCCUACGGGAGGCAGCAGUAGGGAAUCUUCCACAAUGGACGCAAGUCUGAUGGAGCAACGCCGCGUGAGUGAAGAAGGGUUUCGGCUCGUAAAGCUCUGUUGUUAAAGAAGAACGUGGGUAAGAGUAACUGUUUACCCAGUGACGGUAUUUAACCAGAAAGCCACGGCUAACUACGUGCCAGCAGCCGCGGUAAUACGUAGGUGGCAAGCGUUAUCCGGAUUUAUUGGGCGUAAAGCGAGCGCAGGCGGUCUUUUAAGUCUAAUGUGAAAGCCUUCGGCUCAACCGAAGAAGUGCAUUGGAAACUGGGAGACUUGAGUGCAGAAGAGGACAGUGGAACUCCAUGUGUAGCGGUGAAAUGCGUAGAUAUAUGGAAGAACACCAGUGGCGAAGGCGGCUGUCUGGUCUGCAACUGACGC
This 767-nucleotide ribosomal RNA is filed under the name Pediococcus pentosaceus. Its description in RNAcentral is "bacterial SSU rRNA". It matches the Rfam family "Bacterial small subunit ribosomal RNA", at positions 24 to 746 of the family's 1533-position model. The record is from RNAcentral. Lineage: Bacteria; Bacillati; Bacillota; Bacilli; Lactobacillales; Lactobacillaceae.